CUACGAGGGGCUGCAGUGAGGAAUAUUGCACAAUGGGGGGAACCCUGAUGCAGCAACGCCGCGUGGAGGAUGACGCAUUUCGGUGUGUAAACUCCUUUUAUAUGUCAAGAAAAUGACGGUAGCAUAUGAAUAAGCACCGGCUAACUCCGUGCCAGCAGCCGCGGUAAUACGGAGGAUGAAGCGUUACUCGGAAUCACUGGGCGUAAAGGACGCGUAGGCGGGUUGGAAAGUCAGGUGUGAAAUCCUACAGCUUAACUGUAGAACUGCACUUGAAACUUCUAAUCUAGAGUAUGGGAGGGGGAGAUGGAAUUAGUGGUGUAGGGGUAAAAUCCGUAGAUAUCACUAGGAAUACCUAAAGCGAAGGCGAUCUCCUGGAACAUUACUGACGCUAAGGCGUGAAAGCGUGGGGAGCAAACAGGAUUAGAUACCCGGGUAGUC
This 438-nucleotide ribosomal RNA is filed under the name uncultured bacterium. RNAcentral's name for it is "partial 16S ribosomal RNA". It matches the Rfam family "Bacterial small subunit ribosomal RNA", at positions 339 to 795 of the family's 1533-position model. The record is from RNAcentral.